CGGAGGAGAGGAAACUAACCAGGAUUCCCUCAGUAGCGGCGAGUGAAGUGGGAAGAGCUCAAGCCUUUAAUCUCCAGUGCGUUGCACUGGCGAAUUGUAGUCUGAAGAGGGGUCGUCUCGUCAGCGGUGCCUCUCAAAGUUGUCGUGGAAUGGCACGCCCUAGAGGGUGAGAGCCCCGUGGUUGAGAAGGCAGUGUGCUGGCGUAACGAGGCCCCGUCUUGGAGUCGGGUUGUUUGGUCGUGCAGCCCAAAGCGGGUGGUAAACUCCAUCCAAGGCUAAGUACUGGCACGAGACCGAUAGCGAACAAGUACCGCGAGGGAAAGAUGAAAAGCACUUUGAAAAGAGAGUCAAACAGUGCGUGAAACCGUUGGUAGGGAAGAGAAUGCGGGUGACCUUUCUCUUGCGAGGGUUCAGGCGGCUGGGCGGUUGCUGCAGGCUGUUACGGCGGGGUACGCAAGUGACCCGCGUGCGGCCUGCGGACUGUCCGUCCAGCCUUGCGGCACUCCCUCCGAGAGUGGUCAGCAAGAGUUUGAUUUGGUGCUCCAAACGUCCGCUUUGGAAGUUGGGGUGGUCCUCUGGGAUUGCCCUCUGUCUGCUUGCGGUUCAGGAGUGCCUCGGACUGAGGAAAGUGGCAGCCCUUGCCACGGCAGUGCCAGCCUGCGGGCCGGACGGAUUGCAUCGGCGGAAGCCUCGACGUGCGGGACUGCCCGGCAGUGUCGCAUCGUAGUCCAAAGCCGGGAGCAAUUGCAGUCACGAUUGGCACUUGGGUUGUUGGCCUCCAGUUGCCCCCAUUCGUCCCGUCUUGAAACACGGACCAAGGAGUGCAGCUUGUGCGCGAGUCUUUGAGUGUCAAACUCCCAGGCGCAGCGAAAGCAAAGGCACACACUCGGUGUGCCGAGGUGGGAGCCCUCGCGCGCGGCGGCUCACCAUCGACCGGCUCUGUUCACACGGUGGAGGAGUCGAGUGAGAGCGUACAGGUUGCGACCCGAAAGAUGGUGAACUAUGCCCGAACAGGGCGAAGCCAGGGGAAACCCUGGUGGAGGCCCGAAGCGGUUCUGACGUGCAAAUCGAUCGUCUGAUUUGGGUAUAGGGGCGAAAGACUAAUCGAACCAUCUAGUAGCUGGUUCCCUCCGAAGUUUCCCUCAGGAUAGCUGGAACCCGUUGUGGCAGUUUUAUCAGGUAAAGCGAAUGAUUAGAGGCCUUGGGGUUGAAACAACCUCAACCUAUUCUCAAACUUUAAAUAGGUAAGAUGGCGGUCUUGCUCGAUUGAAGUCCGUCGCGGAAUGCCCAGGUUCCUAGUGGGCCAUUUUUGGUAAGCAGAACUGGCGAUGCGGGAUGAACCGAAAGCCGGGUUAAGGUGCCCAAGUGGACGCUCAUCAGACCCCAGAAAAGGUGUUGGUCGAUCCAGACAGCAGGACGGUGGCCAUAAAAGUCGGAACCCGCUAAGGAGUGUGUAACAACUCACCUGCCGAAUCGACCAGCCCUGAAAAUGGAUGGCGCUCAAGCGUCACACCCACCCCCGGCUGUCGGGGCUAGGAGGUUGGCCCCGACAAGUAGGAGGGCGCGGCGGUGGUGAAGCAGCCUCGAGCGCAAGCUCUGGUCGAACUGCCGUCGGUGCAGAUCUUGGUGGUAGUAGCAACUAUUCAAAUGAGAACUUUGAAGACUGAAGCGUGGGGAAAGGUUUCAUGCGUACUGCAUUUGCACAUGAGUCAGUCGGUCCUAAGGGCCAGGUCAACUCCGAUCACGUGUGCCCGGUCGCCCUCCCUUUGCGGCGGUUGUGUGCCAGGCGCCUUUGCCCGAAAGGGAAUCGAGUUAAUAUUCUCGAACCGGAAUGCGGAUAGGGGGCUCGGUCCCUGUGCGACUGUUCCCCGCGGCGGCAACGCAAGCGAACUCGGAGACGUCGGCGCGAGUUCCGGGAAGAGUUCUCUUUUCUUCUUGACGGGCCCAUCCCCUGGAAUGGGAUUGCCCCGCGAUAGGGUGGCGUGCCCGGCAAAGUGCUGCACCUCUCGCAGCAUCCGGUGCGCUCGCGUCGGCCCGUGAAAAUCCGAGGGAGCGCGUGAUUCUCGCAUCCGGCCGUACUCAUAACCGCAUCAGGUCUCCAAGGUGAACAGCCUCUAGUCGAUAGAACAAUGUAGGUGAGGGAAGUCGGCAAAUUGGAUCCGUAACUUCGGGAAAAGGAUUGGCUCUAAGGACUGGGUCUGUCGGGCUUCGGCUGGAAGGCAGACGCGCGGUGUCCUUCUGGGUGAGCGGCUCCCCUCUGCGGGGGGUGCAGCAAUCCCGGCAGUUUGCCGUGCCGAUGCCCAAAGGUCAAAGCUUGGUCUUGGCGGACCGAUCGGCAGGCAACGAGCAGUCGUCUUAGAACUGGAACGGACAAGGGGAAUCCGACUGUUUAAUUAAAACAAAGCAUUGCGAUGGCCGCAACCGGUGUUGACGCAAUGUGAUUUCUGCCCAGUGCUCUGAAUGUGAAAGUGAAGGAAUUCAACCAAGCACGGGUAAACGGCGGGAGUAACUAUGACUCUCUUAAGGUAGCCAAAUGCCUCGUCAUCUAAUUAGUGACGUGCAUGAAUGGAUUAACGAGAUUCCCACUGUCCCCAUCUACUAUCUAGCGAAACCGCAGCCAAGGGAACGGACUUGGCACAAUCAGCGGGGAAAGAAGACCCUGUUGAGCUUGACUCUAGUUCGACUCUGUGAAAAGACAUGAGAGGUGUAGGAUAGGUGGGAGCCUCGUCGGUGCCGGUGAAAUACCACUACUUUCAUCGUUUUUUUACUUAUUCAGUGAUGCGGAAGCGGGCCCGGAGGCCCACCUCCAAGCGUUAAGGCACCGAGUUGGCGUGCCGAUCCGUGUUGAAGACAGUGUCAGAUGGGGAGUUUGGCUGGGGCGGCACAUCUGUCAAAUGAUAAC
This 2902-nucleotide ribosomal RNA is filed under the name Halisarca melana. RNAcentral's name for it is "eukaryotic LSU rRNA". It matches the Rfam family "Eukaryotic large subunit ribosomal RNA", at positions 51 to 2653 of the family's 3401-position model. The record is from RNAcentral. Lineage: Eukaryota; Metazoa; Porifera; Demospongiae; Chondrillida; Halisarcidae.